RNAcentral lists this ribosomal RNA (537 nucleotides) under Candidatus Uzinura diaspidicola. RNAcentral's name for it is "bacterial SSU rRNA". It matches the Rfam family "Bacterial small subunit ribosomal RNA", at positions 690 to 1229 of the family's 1533-position model. The record is from RNAcentral. Lineage: Bacteria; Pseudomonadati; Bacteroidota; Flavobacteriia; Flavobacteriales.
GCAUUCAUCUGACUGUGAUUCGAUAGCGUAGGCAGGUUGCUAAAUCUGUUACUGACGCUGAGUGCACGAAAGCGUGGGGAGCAAACAGGAUUAGAUACCCUGGUAGUCCCCGCCCUAAACGAUGAUCACUAGCUAUUGGAAAAACGAUAUUCGCUGGCUCAGCGAAAGCGAUAAGUGAUCCACCUGGGAAGUAUAGUCGCAAGAUUGAAACUCAAAGGAAUUGACGGGGGUUCGCACAAGCGGUGGAGCAUGUGGUUUAAUUCGAGAUACGCGAGGAACCUUACCAAGGCUUAAAUGUAUUACGAAUAAGCUGGAAACAGCUUACUCUAUACGACGUUUUACAAGGUGCUGCAUGGUUGUCUUCAGUUCGUGCUGUGAAGUGUUUGGUUAAGUCCUAUAACGAGCGCAACCCCUAUUGUUAGUUGCCAUCGGGUAAAGCUGGGGACUCUAACAAAACUGCCUGUGUAAACUGUGAGGAAGGUGGGGAUGAUGUCAAAUCAUCGUGGCCUCUAUGCCUUGGGCUACACACGUUCUACA